GUGUCAGCAGCCGCGGUAAUACGUAGGUGGCAAGCGUUGUCCGGAAUUAUUGGGCGUAAAGGGCGCGCAGGCGGUUUCUUAAGUGAGAUGUGAAAUCCCAGGGCUUAACUGUGGGGCGGCAUUGCAAACUGGAUGUCUUGAGUGCAGGAGAGGAAAGCAGAAUUCCUAGUGUAGCGGUGAAAUGCGUAGAGAUUUGGAAGAAAACCAGUGGCGAAGGCGUCUUUCUGGGCUGCAACUGA
Molecule: ribosomal RNA, 239 nt
Filed under: uncultured bacterium
Lineage: Bacteria
Description: partial 16S rRNA
Rfam family: Bacterial small subunit ribosomal RNA
Source: RNAcentral